This 461-nucleotide ribosomal RNA is filed under the name uncultured bacterium. RNAcentral describes it as "partial 16S ribosomal RNA". It matches the Rfam family "Bacterial small subunit ribosomal RNA", at positions 338 to 795 of the family's 1533-position model. The record is from RNAcentral.
CCUACGGGCGGCAGCAGUGAGGAAUAUUGGUCAAUGGGCGCGAGCCUGAACCAGCCAAGUAGCGUGAAGGAUGACUGCCCUACGGGUUGUAAACUUCUUUUGUACGGGAGUAAUAAUGGUCACGUGUGGCCAGACGAGAGUACCGUACGAAUAAGCAUCGGCUAACUCCGUGCCAGCAGCCGCGGUAAUACGGGGGAUGCAAGCGUUAUCCGGAUUUAUUGGGUUUAAAGGGUGCGUAGGCUGUGAGGUAAGUCAGCGGUGAAAUGCCCCCGCUCAACGGGGUGAAGUGCCAUUGAUACUGGCUGGCUGGAGUGCGGAUGCGGUGGGAGGAAUGUGUGGUGUAGCGGUGAAAUGCAUAGAUAUCGAGAGGAACUCUCGUGGCGAAGGCGGGUUCCUGGACUGUAACUGACGCUGAGGCACGAAGGCCAGGGGAGCGAACGGGAUUAGAUACCCGAGUAGUC